RNAcentral lists this unclassified non-coding RNA (344 nucleotides) under Hevea brasiliensis (rubber tree). Lineage: Eukaryota; Viridiplantae; Streptophyta; Magnoliopsida; Malpighiales; Euphorbiaceae. The record is from RNAcentral.
UCUGGGACUGCUAGAACAGUUGUUGCCAUGCUGACCUGACCUUUUGUAAUGGAUAAAGUUGCAUUUGAUCAGGAUUUUAGCGUCUUGUUGCGAAUUUUACAAUAGUUGAGUCGUGUCUUAUAGAGUUUGACAAACGUUUGAAUCAUAGUCAAGAUCGAAUCAUCCACAUGGUUUGAACUAUAGUUAUAGUUUGAAGCGCAGAUGUCCGAAACUGUCAAUUACUGAGUAAAGCACUGACGUAUUUUGAGACGGUCAAAUCAUAGUAGCUUUUUUUUUCUUCUUCUUUUUCUUUUUUUUUUUUUUCAAGGAUUAAAAUUUGAUGUAGUCUUAUUCUUAUGGUGCAA